UCCCUGAAAAGUUUGAAAUAAACCUUGGAAUGUAGUUUACUUUUCCCAAAAAUGAUUGAAGUUCUUUUUUGUUCUUUGGGGGUGAUGAUUCCUUGAUUGCAGUUCUAAAGAACUUUGCUUUGAGCAAUCUUUCGGUUUUUGAUUCGAUCUUCAUUAUGAUUUUUGACACAAAUCUUCACAGACUUUGUUUCAUAGGUUUCUUUCCUAGUUUAAGGGGUAAUCUAUGCUCAACCUGCCGUCGAUCUAAUCCGGGAAUAUCUUUGUACACCCAAGCAAA
This 277-nucleotide long non-coding RNA is filed under the name Cicer arietinum (chickpea). Its description in RNAcentral is "long non-coding RNA (CARI_LNC003790)". Lineage: Eukaryota; Viridiplantae; Streptophyta; Magnoliopsida; Fabales; Fabaceae. The record is from RNAcentral.